This 2738-nucleotide long non-coding RNA is filed under the name Homo sapiens (human). RNAcentral describes it as "GARS1 divergent transcript". The record is from RNAcentral. Lineage: Eukaryota; Metazoa; Chordata; Mammalia; Primates; Hominidae.
ACAAAACCCGGAAGGACCCCGCCGAAGGUUUUCUCCGGUUCGGGAGAGAGACGGAGUCCCGCUCUGUCACGCAGGCUGCCAGGCUGGCGUACAGUGGCGCAAUCUCAGCUCGCUGCAACCUCCACCUCCUGGGUUCAAGCGAUUUUCUUGCCUCUGCCUCCUGAGUAGCUGGGAUUACUGGCACACACCACCAUGCACAGUUCCUUGUUCAAAAUGCCAAGAACCUGGAUGACUCAUAGUCAAGACCCUCCACCAGUAACAUAUAUUGGCGAGCCAGCCAGGAGCUUGGAACCCUCGGUGGACAGUGCCUAAGCACAGAGGCAACCACAGGUUUCUAACAGGGCCACUCUCUGGUGAAACUGAAAGGUUUCUGUGUGAAAGUGCCUGACCACCACUGCCCAAUUCAGUUGCAGGAAUUUAGCCAAUUCAGAGGUCUUGUUCUCCAUAAUUUGGAAUUUUCCUUCGGAUUUGAUCAAGUUGGAUAGAGUUGGUCAAACCCAAUGGGAAAAAGAUGAAAACAACAAGAAACAGAAACAAACAGCAACAACAACAACAACAAAAACAAUGCAUUUAAUUAAAUGAAGAUGAGCUCAUGCUGGAGUAGGGUGGACUCUGAACCCAGUGGGACAAGCGUCCUUAUUAAGAAGAGGGAAAUCUGGACACACACAGAGCAGAGACCGCCGUGUGAAGAUGGAGGCAGAGAUCGGAGAGAUGCUGCCACACGCCACAAAUGCCUGGGGCUCCCAGAAACUACACGGAGCCUCCCCCAGCGGCUUCAGCAGGAGCAUGGCUCGGCCAACACUUUGAUCUUGGUCUUCCAGCCUCCAGAACGUUUUCCUAAAAUUCCCUUUUCCACUGGUGUGUGGUGCAAGAUGAGGCACAUUUUCCAUGGAUGGUGAACAGAGGGAGGAGCCUUUUGAUCACAACCAGGUCACCCCACUUCUAAGCCACUGUGCCUCCAGCCCCACAAGACUAAGGAGAGAGAGCGCAGCGUGGUGGAGAGUGAGCUGUGCUGGGACCAUUGUUUCCGUAACCUCGUUUUCUGUGUCCAGCUGACACACCUUCAAAGUGGCAUCAGGUCCUAAACUGUAGCUUGCAAUGUGCCUGUUUCCAGAAACCAAGGUGAAAGUGCUUUUAGACAGUGUUCCCAUGCAAGAGUCCCUUCCCAGCUUUUUUCUGGAAAUGCAUGUUUCUCUGAACUCUGAGUCCCAAGAAAAAUCACUUGAGACACCAAGAAAAUGGGGGAAGUGCUAAAAUUGUGUGGGAAUUCAAGCUUAACAAUAAACAUCAAGACAUUUUUGAUAAAAAUGAAUCCACUGACAUCGGGGAGGAGCAAGAGAACAGCACGCUGACACUGGGUCAGAGGCUAAGACCGACAUUUCUGGGAACCACUCCCGGAAGGGCACAGAGGAGACGCUUUCAGCCUCUCAUCAGCCAGCCUGGCCUGUAGCUGCUGCACGUUAUGAGUGUGUUCCUGGCAUGACUGCUUCUAACAACUGGGUCUCGCUUGUUGCCCAGGCUGUAGUGCACUGGUGCAAUCAUGGCUCACUGCAGCCUUGACCUCCUGGAUCAAGGUAUCCUCCCACCUCUCAGCCUCCCAAGCAGCUGGGACUAUGGGUGCAUGCCACCACACCCAGCUAAUUUUUGUAUUUAUGGAGAUAUGGGUCUCACCAUGUUACCCAGGCUGGUCUUGAACUUCUGGGCUCAAGCCUUCUGCCUGCCCUGGCCUUCCAAAGCAUUGGAAUUACAGGCCUGAGCCACUGUGCUAGGCCAGAGCCAACAGGACUUACUGAGAAAUUAUCUGAGAGAGAGGGGUCAAGGAAGACUCCCCCUGUUCAACCAAGCAACGAGGUGAAUGGUGCUGCUGCUUCCUGAGAUGGGGAAGACUGUAGAGGAAACAAACCAGGAACGACAAAUCAGUAAUUUAGCUUUGAAUACAUUAGGUUUGAGAUGGCUAGUCUGUACCCAAACAGACCACACUGUGGCAUCUGGGCAGCAGGAUCUGCAGAAUCCAGCAGGAUGGAUGCUGAUGCCAAGCUGAGUAGACAGUUGGGUCUGUGAGUCUAAAGCUCAGGGAAGACCUCAGGGUCUGGGAUACAAAUCUGGAGAUCAUCACCCUGUCCAUGAAAGCCAAGGGAAUGAUGGAAGAUACUAUGAGAAAAAGUGAAGAGAGGAAAGAGAAGAGGUCCAUGGAAGGAGACCUGGGAGAAUCCAACCUUCGAUUAGAUCAGGAAGAGGAGAAGAAUCCAGUAAAAAACUCUGAGAAGUCUCUGGGAAGGAAGUCUUCCUUCCUUCCCCUGUACCAGGAGAGGUGCUAUCCCAGAAAUUAGUAAAGAAACAGUUUUUGAUGGGGAGAACAGGAUCACCUUUGUCAACUGCUGCUGCGAGACUUGGAAAAAUAAGGACUGGGAAGAGAGCAAUAGAAACUUUGAAAGCCAUUGGUUAUCUUGAUAAGAGUUGUUUCUGUGGGGGUGGUGAGAACUGGAGCCUGACUGGAUGGGUUCAAGAGAGAAUGGGGAGUUCUAGCCAAGAAGGCUGAUGAGGAUGAGUCAAAUUAAAAAUGUUUUCUUUUUAUGAGUCCUCUCAUAUUUACUGAUACAACUGAUAUAUUGGGUCUCCAUUCUGCCACAUUACUUUAUAUUGAUCAUGUAUUGUAUCUGCUAUGCAAUUGUAUUGCAUGUAUCUGCAUGGCAAUUGUAUUGCCAUGCAAUGUAUUUUUUUUUACUUUAAAAAUUAUA